GAUUUUUGGACAAUGGGCGAAAGCCUGAUCCAGCAAUGCCGCGUGCAGGAUGAAGGCCUUCGGGUUGUACACUGCUUUUGUACGGAACGAAAAUCUUUGGUUUAAUACCCUGGAGUCAUGACUGUACCGUAAGAAUAAGCACCGACUAACUACGUCCCAGCAUCCACGGUAAAACGUAGGGUGCAAGCGUUAAUCGGAAUUACUGGGCGUAAAGCGUGCGCAGGGGGUGUUGUAAGACAGAGGUGAAAUCGCCGGGCUCAAACUGGGAACUGCCUUGGUGACUGCAAGGCUAGAGUACGGCAGAGGGGGGUGGAAUUCCGCGUGUAGAAGUGAAAUGCGUAGAUAUGCGGAGGAACACCGAUGGCGAAGGCAACCCCCUGGGCCUGUACUGACGCUCAUGCACGAAAGCGUGGGGAGCAAACA
RNAcentral lists this ribosomal RNA (423 nucleotides) under uncultured bacterium. RNAcentral's name for it is "partial 16S ribosomal RNA". It matches the Rfam family "Bacterial small subunit ribosomal RNA", at positions 359 to 774 of the family's 1533-position model. The record is from RNAcentral.